GAUGAACGCUGGCGGCGUGCCUAAUACAUGCAAGUCGAGCGAAUGGAUUAAGAGCUUGCUCUUAUGAAGUUAGCGGCGGACGGGUGAGUAACACGUGGGUAACCUGCCCAUAAGACUGGAUAACUCCGGGAAACCGGGGCUAAUACCGGAUAACAUUUUGAACCGCAUGGUUCGAAAUUGGAAAGCGGCUUCGGCUGUCACUUAUGGAUGGACCCGCGUCGCAUUAGCUAGUUGGUGAGGUAACGGCUCACCAAGGCAACGAUGCGUAGCCGACCUGAGAGGGUGAUCGGCCACACUGGGACUGAGACACGGCCCAGACUCCUACGGGAGGCAGCAGUAGGGAAUCUUCCGCAAUGGACGAAAGUCUGACGGAGCAACGCCGCGUGAGUGAUGAAGGCUUUCGGGUCGUAAAACUCUGUUGUUAGGGAAGAACAAGUGCUAGUUGAAUAAGCUGGCACCUUGACGGUACCUAACCAGAAAGCCACGGCUAACUACGUGCCAGCCGCCGCCGUAA
Molecule: ribosomal RNA, 514 nt
Filed under: uncultured bacterium
Lineage: Bacteria
Description: partial 16S ribosomal RNA
Rfam family: Bacterial small subunit ribosomal RNA
Source: RNAcentral